CCAAUAGCGUAUAUUAAAGUUGUUGCAGUUAAAAAGCUCGUAGUUGGAUUUCGGGGUCAGUAGGUUGGUCGUGCCACCGGUACGUACUGGUCUCACUGAUUCCUCCUUCCUGAUGAGCUGUAUUGCCAUUAAUUUGGUGUUGCAGGGAAUCUGGACUGUUACUUUGAAAAAAAUUAGAGUGUUUAAAGCAGGCUAACGCUUGAAUACAUUAGCAUGGAAUAAUGAAAUAGGACGUUCGAUCCUAUUUUGUUGGUUUCUAGGAUUGACGUAAUGAUUAAUAGGGAUAGUUGGGGGCAUUAGUAUUCAAUUGUCAGAGGUGAAAUUCUUGGAUUUAUUGAAGACUAACUACUGCGAAAGCAUUUGCCAAGGAUGUUUUCAUUAAUCAAGAACGAAAGUUAGGGGAUCGAAGACGAUCAGAUACCGUCGUAGUCUUAACCAUAAACUAUGCCGACUAGGGAUCGGAUGAUGUUAAUUUUUUAAUGACUCAUUCGGCGCCUUACG
RNAcentral lists this ribosomal RNA (501 nucleotides) under uncultured Glomeromycotina. Its description in RNAcentral is "partial small subunit ribosomal RNA". It matches the Rfam family "Eukaryotic small subunit ribosomal RNA", at positions 591 to 1092 of the family's 1831-position model. Lineage: Eukaryota; Fungi; Glomeromycota. The record is from RNAcentral.